This 124-nucleotide ribosomal RNA is filed under the name bacterium. Its description in RNAcentral is "partial 23S ribosomal RNA". It matches the Rfam family "Bacterial large subunit ribosomal RNA", at positions 1 to 124 of the family's 2925-position model. The record is from RNAcentral.
AAUCAAGCGCAAAAGGGCAUUUAGUGGAUGCCUUGGCAUCAAGAGACGAUGAAGGACGUGGCAGGCUGCGAUAAGCUAAGGGGAGUUGUCAACAAACUUUGAUCCUUAGAUAUCCGAAUGGGGA